This 274-nucleotide ribosomal RNA is filed under the name uncultured bacterium. RNAcentral's name for it is "partial 16S ribosomal RNA". It matches the Rfam family "Archaeal small subunit ribosomal RNA", at positions 473 to 747 of the family's 1478-position model. The record is from RNAcentral.
AAACCAGCACCUCAAGUGGUCAGGAGGAUUAUUGGGCCUAAAGCAUCCGUAGCCUGCUGCAUAAGUUUUCGGUUAAAUCCAUACGCUCAACGUAUGGGCUGCCGGAAAUACUACAAAGCUAGGGAGUGGGAGAGGUAGACGGUAUUCGGUAGGAAGGGGUAAAAUCCUUUGAUCUAUUGAGGACCACCUGUGGCGAAGGCGGUCUACCAGAACACGUUCGACGGUGAGGGAUGAAAGCUGGGGGAGCAAACCGGAUUAGAAACCCGUGUAGUCC